This 447-nucleotide ribosomal RNA is filed under the name uncultured bacterium. Its description in RNAcentral is "bacterial SSU rRNA". It matches the Rfam family "Bacterial small subunit ribosomal RNA", at positions 330 to 792 of the family's 1533-position model. The record is from RNAcentral.
CCCAGACUCCUACGGGAGGCAGCAGUGGGGAAUAUUGCACAAUGGGGGAAACCCUGAUGCAGCGACGCCGCGUGAGUGAGGAAGUAUUUCGGUAUGUAAAGCUCUAUCAGCAGGGAAGAAAAAAUGACGGUACCUGACUAAGAAGCACCGGCUAAAUACGUGCCAGCAGCCGCGGUAAUACGUAUGGUGCAAGCGUUAUCCGGAUUUACUGGGUGUAAAGGGAGCGCAGGCGGUACGGCAAGUCUGAUGUGAAAGCCCGGGGCUCAACCCCGGUACUGCAUUGGAAACUACCGGACUGGAGUGUCGGAGGGGUAAGUGGAAUUCCUAGUGUAGCGGUGAAAUGCGUAGAUAUUAGGAGGAACACCAGUGGCGAAGGCGGCUUACUGGACGAUCACUGACGCUGAGGCUCGAAAGCGUGGGGAGCAAACAGGAUUAGAUACCCUAGUA